GGAAGGUGGGAACCUGACCAGGGGACCUGUCAUGAGGUGUAGCCAGAAUCCUAGCAUUGCCCGGAGAGCGGAAGUCGGGCUCCAGCAUCCAUCGGUUCCCCACCCCCCUGAUGAAAGAAAGAAAAGUCCACAACGCGUGUCAGAUCUUACAGCUCAGCCUCUGAGAAUCAGCUCACCGCCCGCUCCGCCCGGUGGGGGGAUAAAGACCAGCUCCUGCCCGUGUCGACGCGCAUGUGAGCACUCAGUGGAGGACGCUGUGAACUCACCCGCGUGCAGGAGGAUUUCUGCUCUUCAGGAUCCUCAGUCCCACGUGGCAACCCAGGAAUGCCCCGAACUCCCCUCCUGCUGGCGCACCAGAUCUACAGUUGUGUACAGAGCAAUCGCCCUGAAGAGGAGCAGCAUCCACAGGACGAUGAGAUGACGACGAUGGCGAGGCCCUUGAAGGAGUGACAGGAGAGACAGAGACUCAGCAACAAAGGGAACCCCGGGCCCGAUGCUCAGAGCUGCAGUGAGGAUACUACCAGGGGCCAUGAGCAGACUGCUGUGGAGCCAGGAGAAAAGCCCCAGUAUAAACAGGCAAUGGAAAUAAAAGGGAACCAGACCCAAACCCCCAUCAGACAGCUGCCAGGUCAGGGGCUCCAAGGGCCACAUUCUGUGGUCUGCUCCCACCUUCGUGCAGAGAAAGGAGCCGGGGCCCUAGCUGGCCUGACACCCAGUGAGCCACCAGUUCCUAGACUCCAGCAGCCCUCUCUAUCCCACCAGGAGGACCCCAGAUGGCACUCAUUACAGCUCCAACCAGCUCCCCAAGGUGGUAUACUUUGUACUGGUGUCACCACACUGCUGUCCUGUGUCACUUCAACAGGUCACUCCCCAGAAGUCCCCUGUGCAGAGCACCCUGGAACCCCUGGCCCAUGCCCGGCUCACCUCCAGCUGCCCUAGAGUCAUCCUGUGCUCAGAGCCCCCUGGACCCCUGGCCCAUGCCCACCUCCACUCCAGACACCCUGCUAGGGCAGCCCCUGCAUAGAGAGCCCAGAGAUCUCCCCCAGGUCCAGCCAUACCCCCUACACACCACCUGCAUGUAGAGCCCUGGGACCACACAAGGCUCGUGGCUGACUCCCUUCAGCAUCCAGCCAGGUCACCCUGUGUGUGGAAAGCCCUGCAGCUGCUCCAGCCCACGCCAACCUCAGUUCCAGCCACACCACCAGGUUAGCCCCGAACAGAGCAAUCCCAGACCCCCAGCCUAGGACCACAACAGCUGCAGCCAGCCAGCAUCACCAAGCACACGCUGUCUACACAGGGGGCCUCCACACACGAUCAACCCAUCAAGACUAAGAGAAGUAGCUGUUCCACCUAAUUCACAGAAACCAAUAGAGAAAGUAGUAUAAAAUGAGACAGAAAAAUAUACUUCAAAGAAUGAGACAAAACCUUAGAAAACCUAAAUGAAGUGCAGAUAAACAAUCUACCAGAUAAAGAAUUCAAAGUAAUGUUCAUAAAAAUGUUCACCGGGAUGGAGAGAAGAGUGGAUGAACUCAUUGAGAAUUUCAACAAAGUGAUGGAAAAUAUUUAAAAACACCAGUUGGGAUUGAAGAAAACAGUAACAAAUGAAAAAUACACUCAAGGGAAUCAACAGAUUAGAAAAUGAAGAACAGAUCAACAAUCUGGAAGACAAAGUGGUGGAAAGCACCUAAGCAGAACAGAAAAAAAAUUUUUUUUAAAUGAGGAUAGGUUAAGGGAGCUCUCGGACAAUAGAAAGUGAGCAAACAUUUACAUUAUAGAGAACCCAGAAGGAGAAGAGAGAGAGAGAAAGGGGCAGAACAAUUAUUUGAAGACAUAACAGCUGAAAACUUCCCUAACCUGGGAAAGGAAACAGACUUCCAAGUUCCAGAAACACAGAGUUUCAAAACAAGAUGAACCCAAGAAAGUCUACACUAUGACACAUAAUUAUUAAAAUGUCAAAGAUUAAAGAGAAUUUUAAAAGCAGCAAGAGAAGAGACACGCCUGGUGGUGACAGACACACCAAAGAGAUGGAUGAAACCAUUGCCGAAUUUAUCAAGAGAACCACAUUGAAGAUCCCAAUGUCUGAAAGAUGACAAUCCUCCAAGUCUGGGAAAUUGAUUGAUUGAUUGAUUGAUUGUCUGAGAAUCAACUGCAGACCAUAGACUUCUGGCAAAGAAAGGAAUCUCUUGUUCAGGACUGAGUUCUGUUCUGUGAGGAGAAGCAUGCCAGUCCCCAGGAUGCAGCCCUAUAAACACCACUCAUACUCCACUUCAUCGGCACCAAAAGUUUGGGAUGUUUUUCAGAGAGUAGAGGACCAGGUGAAGACCUUGAUCUUUUUGAUAUGGAACAAGUCAAAGGUUCAUUUGAGACACUUCUUCAGGGAACAGUAGAAAAUGUGAGUCUGCUUCCAAGACACUGAGGAGAAUGCUGUGUGGGUUCGAGUUGCCUGGGGAACACAGUGGAGCAAGCCAACCCAGUACAGACCUGCUUAUGUGGGUGCAUUAUUCCCAGACUCCCUACACCAUCACUUCCUCCUGCCAGCUGAAGAGCAAUACACCCCGUCCGUGGCAGGCACUGCCAGUUGCUAGCCAGCACCAUAUGUUUGUGAAAAUGGACCCCAAAGCUGGAAUCCGGACUCCCUUAAGCAGUAUAACCAGGCCUUUGAAACUGACCCCUCUACCACAGCCCUACAAGAAAGAACCCUUGAGCUGGAAAUACACAUGGAUCAAGGAUCAUUCAUGAAAAUGAAAUAGAAAAAGAAAGUCCAGAGAGAGACUCAAGAAACUUGGGAGACUAUCCUCAACCAAGACUAGAAUUUGCACAACAGGAGCUUGAAACAAAAGCUGAGGCACCUCUGGUGCCUAAUGAAGUUCCCUAGCCCGCAUCUUCUGGAAGCGUUGAAAUCCUCAGCACCAGCCAGUACUGCAGAUGCACCACUUUCUCCACUGCUCACUUACAUGCCCCAUAAAGGAAUGAAUUAUAUUAAAGUUAGAUGUAAAUAAGACGAAUGUGGUCUUACAAGCACAG
RNAcentral lists this long non-coding RNA (3024 nucleotides) under Canis lupus familiaris (dog). Its description in RNAcentral is "lncRNA (ENSCAFG00000056749.1)". Lineage: Eukaryota; Metazoa; Chordata; Mammalia; Carnivora; Canidae. The record is from RNAcentral.